GCACUCACCUCAUUUAGUAGGAGACUCACAUUUUUCCCAGUCUUCCUUUUACUGCUGACAUACGUAAAAGAAAAAAAAACAACAAAAAAAAAAACACUUUCUUGUUAUCCUUUAUCUCCUUUGCAGUGUUUAAUUCCAAGACAGCCUCAGCCCUCCUUCAGGCCCUGAAAACAUUCCUUUAUUCUUCCUAGGUGAACAGGUCCUUUUACCACAUUUCAUGGACCUUCUUCUUUCCCUUUGAAUUAUCCAUGAGUUCCUUGCUCAUCCACACAGGCCUUUUGCCACCUUUCCCUGAUUUCUUACUCUUAGGGAUGCACCAAUCCUGAGCAUGGAAGAAGUGGUAUUUACAUGUCAACUAACUCUCAUGAACCCCCUCGCCUUCUAAUGCUCUAGCCCCUGGAAUACUUCCAAAUAGGUCUUUGAAGAUGUCAAAAUUAGCUCUCCUGAAGCCCAGGGUAGCAAUCCUGCUUAUUUCUUUGCUUCUUCCACACUGAACUCUGCCAUCUCAUGAUCACUGCAUCUCAACCUACCUCCAACUUUCACAUCCCCAGCCAGCCAGCCCUUCCCUAUUAGUAAGAACAAGGUCAAGUAGCGCACCCAUCCUCAUUGGUUCCUCUGCCACCACUGUCAGAAAGUUAUCUUCAACACAUUGCAAGAACCAUCUGGACCUUGUGUGUCUGGCCAUGUUGCUUAUCCAACAAACAUCAAGAUGAUUCAAGUCCCCCAUAAGAACCAGUGCUGAGGAUUACAAGGAUACUUCCAGCUGUUUUUAGAAGGCCUCAUCAACUUCUUCCUCCUGAUCAGGUGGCCUAUACUACACACCCACAGCAGUAUCACCUAUGUUAGCCCACCCCUUAAUUCUUACCCACAAGCUCUCCACUUUUUCAUCAUUCACCCCUAUGUGGAGCUCAAUGCAUUUUAGUUGCUCUCUCACAUAAAGAGCAACUCCACCACAUCUCCGGGCAACCCAUUCCACUGCUGCACCACUCUUACUGUAAAAACUUCUUCAUAAUAUCCAAUUUAAAUCUCCCCUCUUUUAGUUUGAAACCGUUUUCUCUUGUCCUAUCACCAAAGGUGCUGCUAAAGAGUCUGUUCCCUUCUGUCUUAUAGCCCCUCUUUAGAUACUGAAUGGCCGCCAUCAGGAUCACCUCCCUCAGCCUACUGUCUACGCUUCUUUUGAUGCAGCCCAGGAUACUGUUAGCUUUCACGUGUCCAGCUUACCAUCCACCAGUAUCCCCAGGUUCUUUUUGGCAGAGUUGUGCUCAAUCAUUUCAUCCACUAGCUUGUACUGACAGUGGAGAUUGCCUUGACUCUGGUGCAAUAUCAUGCACUUGGAUUUGUUGAACCUCCAAGUCCUCCUAUGCUCACAGCCUGUCUAGGUCCUUCUGGAUUGCACCCUGUCUGUCAGGUAUGUUGGCCACACACCCCAUCUUGGUGUAAUCUGCAAAAUUGCUGAGGGUGCACUCAACACCGCUGCUGAUGUCUUUGGUGAAGAUGUCAAAAGGGCAUCAAUCCCAGCACUGACCUCUGGGAGGCAUAACUUGUCACUGACUUCCAGACAGACAUUGAGCCAUUGACCAUCACUCUCGAGGUACAAUCUCAUAACCAGUUCCUCAUCCAUCAGACAGUCCACCCAUCAAAUCGAUAUAUUUCCAAUUUGGAGAGAAGAAUGGAAGAAUGUUGUGGAGCAUUUUGUCAAUGGCCUUACUGAUGUCCAGAUAGAUAACAUCAGUAGCUCUUCCCUUGUCCACUGAUGCAGCUGCACUAUCAUAACAAGCAACAAUGUUGGUCAGACAGGACCUGCCCUUGGUGAAGAGGACAUAUGAGGACAAAUUUUGUGCAUAGCACAGAACCACUAGAGUGAGUGGAAUUAUACCUGGUGAUAUUUUGCCCCAUCCAACUCUGCAUUUAUCAGUCAAAGCAGAUAAUUAGAUGUGUACACUUCCUUAAAAUCUUAUUUUUGCCAGAGGUUAGACAUGUGAAGAAUCAAAGUGACAGUCAUGGAGGCUUUGGUUCAGAACAGUAGCAGGAGCUGUGCAAUUGUGUGCAUUUAUAUGCGUAUGUAUGCGUGUCAGUGCAUAUAAAAAUAUUUUUCAGACAAACUUUAUAUCCUAGAUUUUAGAGAGGUCAUUUCACAUUAUGUGACUUUAGGAUUUGUUUUCCUGCAAGUGUUUUUAUAUCACAUUUGUUAAGUGUGCAAUGUGGAACUUUCUUAUGAAAUAGUGGUAUAAGAACACCAAGAAGCUACCACAGAGCUUUCAAACACAAACCUGCAUGUAGUAGGAAAGGGAAGUAUGGUCUUCAGUUUGUAUAAAAAAAAUGUAAUUAAAUUUAGGAGUAACUAUGAGAGGAAGAGAAACCAAGUAAACCACAUGUUCGUGAAUACAGCUGUGACUUAUUACUGAUCUUAAAAUAAUAAAUACUAUGCAAAGAUAGCUUAAAAAUUCAUGAGUAGUAUAUAGAAUAUCUGCCUUAAAAAGAAACAAAUUGAAAUACGCUGGCAGUUUUUCAUUUCCGACUAGCAGAAGAUAUGAAAGCAGUCUAUUAAAUAAUGACUGACAUACAUAGGUAUUCCUUGCUUCUUGCACCACAAAAAACAAAGAUUAUCAUGUUAAAGUAGAAUUUAGUAGGUCUAACACCGGUAUUAGGACCUUGAGGACUUCUUCACAGAGGGUGCUAGAGUUUUUGGGACUUAAUGUGAGUUCAGAUUGGGACUGGACAAGAAUUUUAGGAAUAUUUAGUUCUGGGAAGAUACUGUUUAAAGCCAGAAUCUGCCAUGUAACAAGCAAGGACAGUACGUCCCAUAUCUGCAUGGCAGGAGAAGAGUCUAAGAAAGUUUCUCAUUUGUUGUCACUUUUUUUUUUUUUAAAUCUCUGUAGGAAUGUUGCAUGAAGGAUCAUAAAAUAUGAAACAGCAAAUAACAGAUGAUAUGCCAUAAACUGUGUUUGCACUUGCCUUUAAGUUUGCUAUUAUGACUUAUUGUCAGAAAAUUUUAAAAGUUUUGUCAGAGUUUUUAUUUUUGCUGUAGUGUACAUACAUAUAAACUAUAGUGCAAACAUUUCCAGAAACAUAGCUUUUUGAUGUACUUCUUUAUGAAAGCACAAUAUGUUUGCAUGUAUGCUGGUUUUGUUUUAGAAGUUUAAAUUGUUUCCCCAAUGAAAGUUAAGAUUUCUUGUAUUUUAAUAUUUUCCAAUCAACUCUACUUUUAUAUUCUUCUGAAAAUUCUUAAGUGGAUUUUUUUUUUCAGCCAGUCUUGGAUCUGUAAUUUCUAAACUUCUGAAAAGCAACAUAAUUAGCCUUUCAAAUACUGGCCCAUAAUCAAGUCUUUUUUCUGCGUAAUCAAGAGAGCGGUUAAACAGCUGAGAGUCAUAAAAGAACAGGAAGAAUUUUAAGAUGCAGAGAAAUUAAAUUUGCUCCAGUUUUCAAAGGAUUAAUCCAGCCCUCAUCUCUCCUUUGACAUCUCUUGGCUACAUCCAAAUAGUCGUCUGCCUGUUCUUCCUCCACAAAAUAUGAAGGGAUGUUACUUGGGCUACCUCAUUCCCUGCCGGUUGCUAAUGGAAAAUAGUACUGCUGUGCAGGGAGACUUGUUUUAUAGGUGUUUUUCUUCUAUCUGGUUUUACAGUUCUCUACCGCCACUGUUCAGCAUUCCCUGGAUUGCUCUGCCGUUCUCUGGCCAUCCAUAUAUGUUUUGCAAACUGAGUGACACAAAGGCCUCUAAAAAAGGAAACACCUCUCACGAAACACUUUGCACUGUUCAUUGCUAUUUCUCUUAAGACAGGAGAACGGUUGCCUCCUAUCACCCUUAAGUUCCAUUUAAAAGCUGGUCAAUCCUACUGGAUACACCAGCCUUCCACUGCUCAGUCCUGGUGCCCGCAUAAGGACAGCUUUACAAAAUGAGUACUCCCUUUUCCCCUGCUAGGGCUUGACACACACUUGUAAGAUUAACAGCUAUGGAAUCUAGUGUUGUUUUAUUUUGUCGUCAGUUUUCAGUGAUAUCAUAGUCUUUUCAUUCCAGCACCUUUCACUUCCCAGUCCUUAAACUAAUACACUGAUCCCUAUUACUAAACAAACCAGACUAUAUCACCACCUUUUAAGCUGAGAUGUAGUUUUUCCUCUGUCCUCCUCCUUGUACAUACACUAGGCUGUGCAUAAACAGCAAAGCACAAGAACUUUACAGCAAGCAGUUCCAAGUCUAACUAGGGCCUAGAGUAGUGCCUACCUGAUAGCUGUGUAUAAUUUGAAGAACACUAACUGCAGAAUUUGCAAGUAUUUGAUUUAAAGAAUCUUAUAUUUUUAUUAGUUUUGCAGACUGACCAAAUAUGUUGUACUAUGGUUGAUUUUAUUGUGUAGCUACAUGGCUCUAUGCCCAUUGACUUCAAGCAAUUACAGCACUACUGCUGGAUCACAACAGUGCUAGACUGAAAGAACCACAGUAUGAAAUUUGCAACUACAGUUUAAUCUACUUUAAAAAUAUGAAAUCUAGUAUAGUUAAUAUGCCUAUCUUAAACUAAAAACUUUACCUGGAGAAAAUAAGUAGGUAUUUUUCAGUGCUCUGAUACUGACCUUAUUUUGAAUCAAUAACUCUCUGAUUAUUUUGCACAAAAACAACCAACCAAAAAAAAAAAAAACCAACACAAAACUCCGCUUAACUUAGUAGCAAUGGAGAAACGCAAGUCCAAAGAGAAAAAGCUCUGCCUCAAAUCUGAAGAACAGAAUUGAGAAUCCAUUCUUUUUUCCCCCACCUCUCAACAGAAGUCUGGGCUAGAAUUCUCUCUCUUAUACUUUAUUUAAAGGCCUCUCUGCUCUAUUUGUUUUUCUAGCAUACUGUCCGUAUGGUAAAAACUGUGUGGAAAAAAUAUAGAGAAGAAAGAAUUUGAACAUUACAGGGAAAGGUAUUUGAAAAAAAAAAAAAAUAACAUCUACACAAAACACGAUACAGUUGUGCUGUCUGUUGGGAUUUACCCAUGACUGUCCUUAGAGCCAAGAAAUACCAGAAGAGAGAUACUAUAGCUGGUAUUUGAAAAACUUCACGUACUCUCAGAAAGAUGCAUAUGAAAACAAUGAAAUUGGAAGCUUUUUUUUUUUUUUUUUUUUUAAAUAGGAAGCAGAUUGCCAUUUGGAAAAAUUGCAGUGAGGUUAUUCCAUGUUUCAAUUUCUCUUUGGGUGAUGGGAGGAAAAGUUCACCUUGAAAACCAGAGAGUUUUACAGCAGAAACAGAAGACAGCAGAAAGAACUGAUGUGACAGCUCAGUCUAACAGAAACAAACCCGCCUAUUCCCCUCAGAAACUGCUAGUAAGACAUAAUGCAGUGUCUGCCAGUGAACUGAAUCACUUUAACAUGACUCUCACAUGUCAUUUAUUAAGCUAAAUAGACAUAAAACUGCAAAUAUCAAAUUGCCUCUAUGUGGUAAUACACAAAAAUGAGAAUUAAAUGCAACUUCCCAUCCUGCUCCUGCCUUACAAAUAUUUAUCAGCCAAGAGAAUGAUCUACAAAAGCUUUUUUUUUUUUCAUUCUGCAAAUAUCACAAUAAGACAUUAACCCUUUUAUCACAACAUGCGCAAUAUGCCUUACUAGUACAAUUUCUUCUCUGAAAGAAGAAAGGGCCACAUAACUUUCUCUGCCCAGAUACAACACUGUAUGACAAAAGCCUGGAGGGACUGGGGAUACCCCUUAUCAACACCAUUUUUUUGAGGCUUACAAUUUAUAUGGGAUUUUUUGUUUUUAUUUUGUUUGGUUUUUUUGCUGUUCUGUUUGUUUGUUAUUUACUAAGUUUCCUGGACAAGGAAUGCAUCGGUUUUAAUAAUGCACAUACUAUUGCAAUAUAUAAUUAUCACUAUGAAUAUUGAAAUCUUAACAGUAAUCUGCAGUUAGAGCAUUUUCAGAAGAUACAAAAUCAAAUAAAAGUGUAAUUUCUCUCAAUAAAGAGUGAUUUAUUAUUACCCAGAUUGUGCAGUAGUCAAUUUUACUCAGUUUUACCCGCAAAAGAUGCUAGUGUCUACCUGUUCAGAACACACGCUCCUG
Long non-coding RNA from Gallus gallus (chicken), 6021 nucleotides. The record is from Ensembl. Lineage: Eukaryota; Metazoa; Chordata; Aves; Galliformes; Phasianidae.